RNAcentral lists this ribosomal RNA (368 nucleotides) under uncultured bacterium. Its description in RNAcentral is "bacterial SSU rRNA". It matches the Rfam family "Bacterial small subunit ribosomal RNA", at positions 29 to 424 of the family's 1533-position model. The record is from RNAcentral.
AACGAACGCUGGCGGCAGGCCUAACACAUGCAAGUCGAACGCCGUAGCAAUACGGAGUGGCAGACGGGUGAGUAACACGUGGGAACGUACCCUUCGGUUCGGGAUAACUCAGGGAAACUUGAGCUAAUACCGGAUACGUCCGAGAGGAGAAAGAUUUAUUGCCGAGGGAUCGGCCCGNGUCUGAUUAGCUUGUUGGUGAGGUAACGGCUCACCAAGGCGACGAUCAGUAGCUGGUCNGAGAGGAUGAUCAGCCACAUUGGGACUGAGACACGGCCCAAACUCCUACGGGAGGCAGCAGUGGGGAAUAUUGGACAAUGGGCGCAAGCCUGAUCCAGCCAUGCCGCGUGAGUGAUGAAGGCCCUAGGGUU